Molecule: ribosomal RNA, 593 nt
Filed under: uncultured Acidobacteriota bacterium
Lineage: Bacteria; Pseudomonadati; Acidobacteriota
Description: bacterial SSU rRNA
Rfam family: Bacterial small subunit ribosomal RNA
Source: RNAcentral
AGAGAUCAUGGCUCAGAAUCAACGCUGGCGGCGUGCCUCAGACAUGCAAGUCGAACGAUUAAACUUUCCUUCGGGAAAGAUAUAAAGUGGCGCACGGGUGAGUAACACGUAAGUAAUCUGCCUUUGAGUGGGGAAUAACCCGGGGAAACCCGAGCUAAUACCGCAUAAUGCAGCGGCACCGCAAGGUGACAGUUGUUAAAGGAGCAAUCCGCUUAAAGAGGAGCUUGCGGCAGAUUAGCUAGUUGGUAAGGUAAUGGCUUACCAAGGCUACGAUCUGUAACCGGUCUAAGAGGACGGUCGGUCACACUGACACUGAAUAACGGGUCAGACUCCUACGGGAGGCAGCAGUCGGGAAUUUUGGGCAAUGGGCGAAAGCCUGACCCAGCAACGCCGCGUGAAGGAUGAAGUAUUUCGGUAUGUAAACUUCGAAAGAAUGGGAAGAAUCAAUGACGGUACCAUUUAUAAGGUCCGGCUAACUACGUGCCAGCAGCCGCGGUAAUACGUAGGGACCAAGCGUUGUUCGGAUUUACUGGGCGUAAAGGGCGCGUAGGCGGCCAUUUAAGUCAUCUGUGACAUCUCUGGGCUUACCUCGC